UUACCAGUGGCCAGUAGUGCGUCUACUGCCCAAUUGACCAGGUGUUGGCAGCGAAGGCAGAAGGCACAUUUGAUAGAAUCAAAUGAAUUCUCGAUGGAGUGAGCAGAAAUUGCUCCAAGACAGCACCCUAGGGGCAAAGCAUAAACAGGAGAUGCACAGAAUCCAGAAAUGGAUAAAAAUGAUGAAGAACCACAGCAAAUACCGCGGCAGUGAGUGCCCCUCAGGAACACUGAGAGCUAAGUUGGGGUUUGAACAGUGCCCAUUCCUGUGCCAGGCACUGCCUGCCUCUCAGAUGCCCAGGGGCAACUGUCCAACCCCUAGCGACAUAGGUCAUCUGCACCCCUUCCCCAUACACACAGGACACUGCCCUGGUAGAAAAUCUGAAGUCACUGCUGAAGACAAUCCUGGAUGCAGGGCAGGUGUGAUUCCAGGUGCCCUGUAGGGGGCAGUCAGUGCACAGCAGAUCCAGGGCCCCUGAGCCCUUGGCCCUCCAGUCACUGUGGGUCAUAAGGCCCCCAUCUGGGCAGAUCCUCCCCUGGCUUCUCCCUCCUGCUGUCUCACCCUAUGCUCCCUCCCUGAGUGGCCAUGUUCACCACUCACCAGAGCCUCCUCUCUCCUAUAGUUUCAGUGGAGAAUUUACAAAGGCAUCCCUGCCCAGGUGCAUGGGAAGGGGUGGGCCAUGAUGCUGGAGGUGGACAAAAAGAAGGCCCAGAAUCCAGGCAAAUACGCGGUAUGGCUCUGCACUCAGCCCAAGGGAGCCUGAGCUGCUCGGGCCUGGUCAGGAGCCUGAGUCUCCAUGGUGGACCGUCCCUCACUGAGCCCUUGGGAGCCUCCUCCCCAUCCUGCCUUCCUCUCCCUAGAUCCUAGUCAGUGCCUCCUCCACAUCUCCUCAGACCCAGCUGGGACUGGGCAGGUGUGUUUUGUGCCAGAGGCUUUAACCUGCUCUCUGCUGAGCUCACUUAGGCAGCUUGGGAUAAGGCCAGAACAGAGGAAUUGCUGGUCCAUGAAUAGCGGGGUCUCCCAGUGUGAGAUCACAAUGGUGUGAGGUCGGGAGCCCCACAGGUUCUGUGCUAACAGGGCUUGCCCUUCACUGGCCCUGCCUUCACAUGGACUUGCAGCCCCUAGCAUUGCCCUUGCCUGCAGUGGCUGGUCCAAUGGUUAGACAGCUCUCAAUGCUUCUGGGAAAGGAGGGAGCAAGGACUGGUGUGAGCAGAGGGCUGUCAACUGCAGCUGGCUCUCAUGUCCCUGGAUGCCAUCAGGGAGAAGGGCCCAGCUGUGUGGCCCACCCUGCCUCUCCUAAGUCUGCAGUUUGGGGCUGCCCUGGGAGCUGGGCCUGAAACAGUCAUUGCCCAGACUCAGCUCCAAGCAAAGGGCGGCUUCCAACAUCUAGAUGGAGAUGGGCCCCUCCAGCAGGGGGCAGCAUGGAGGUGUGGUCAGGCUGUGGCUGACUCCUGGAGGGCCUGAGACACCAGUGAGGAGGAUUGGAAGCCUGGCUGGGGUCAGACCGAGUCUGUGCUGAGAGCUGAGGGCAGGCAGGGGUAGUGCACAGGGACCUUUCAGAGCCCCUGGCUGAUGCUGACCAUCAGGGUCUCAGUGCCCCCCCCCAGCAGGGAUGCUGGCCACGGGGGUGACGUGGAUGCUGAGGCAAGUAGGGAGCCCAUGACCCUCCUUCAACGUGGGACCCAGAAAGGAAUGAGCUCCCUGCAGGGAACCCUCCCUGUCAGCCAGAAGAGCUGACAUGGACUUGAGGUCCUUGUGUGGCAAUGGGGCUUUUGCAGUUCUUCAUGUUGUCCCCCUCCUUGUCCCUGCUCUGCAGGAGAUGAAAGAGCAGGACAGACUGGGUGCAAGUCACUUCCAUCACAUCGACUCCGCCAUCACAUGGACUUUCAGAAACCACCUGAUCUUCCAGGAACGUUACAGAAUGAAGUGAGGCCUCUGGGCUGGGAAGGACCCAGGGUGGGAGGAGCAAGGGUCCUGGGGCACAUGGGGUCCCUAGGGAAGACUUGGGUGCAAACCUAAAAUAGUUCAUUUAGCACAGAAAACAAAAUUGCCUUUUAGAUAUUACAUAAACUUUUUUAUAUUAUAUAAACUCCCAAAGACACUGUAGAGAGAAUGAAAUGAAAAGAAACACAAGGGGAGACAAUAUUAGCAAUCUACCUAAUAAAGGUAUUAUUUCCAGAAUAUUCAAGGAGCCCUUCACCUCAGUAACAAGGAAGCAGAGGACAGCUGCCCAGUACCCCAGGGACACAGACUCAGGAGGGCCCCUUCAUAACGGCACACACAAUUCACCUCCUCAACGAUGAACACAUGCUUAGCACCUAAACCACAAUGGGGCACCAGCGCACAGUUGUGAGAAUGGGGGAACUAAAACCACUGAGAGGUCGGUGCCAUGGCUCAAUAGGCUAAUCCACCUAGCGUCGCUGGCAUACCGGGUUCUAGUCCCGGUCGGGGCUCCGGAUUCUGUCCCGGUUGCCCCUCUUCCAGGCCAGCUCUCUGCUGUGGCCCAGGAGUGCACUGGAGGAUGGCCCAAGUACUUGGGCCCUGCACCCCAUGGGAGACCAGGAGAAGCACCUGGCUCCUGCCUUCAGAUCAGCGCAGUGCACCGGCCGCAGUGUGCCAGCCUUGGCGGCUAUUGGAGGGUGAACCAACAGCAAAAGGAAGACCUUUCUCUCUGUCUCUCUCUCACUAUCCACUCUGCCUGUGAAAAAAAGAAAAAAAAAAAACACUGAGGACGCUGGGUGCUGGGGACAAUGUGAGGUGAGUGCCACUCCAGUUCAUUGCCAGGAACAGAGAACAGAAGCCCAGGCCCUUGGCAGCACCCAGGGCUGUUUCUCAUAAUGAGAAACACACACCUUCCACAUGAACCCCCAGCACACACGCACAUGUACACAACCACUAGAACAGCUGAGUGCACAGAAAACACACAAGAUUCACGGUUGUGUUCACAGUCAUGGGACACAGGAAUAGCCUGCAUGAUGCUCAGUGGGGAAACAGAUAAGCAACCCGUGUCACAGCUGAAUCCUAGAACGGGAUUCAGUGAGAGGCAGGACGAGGCUCAGCCCUGGGCUCACCUGGAUGCAUCUCAGGUGCAUUCUGCUAAGAGAGGAAGCAUCCCUCAAAGGCUACACAUGCUAUGAUCCACUCAGGACAUCUGCAAGAGGCCAAACCCUGGGACACACAACAGGGCAGUGGUGGCCAUGGGCUGGGGGAGGUGGAGAGUUUGGCCACAGAGAGCUCAUGGGGAAUACAUAGGCGACAGGAGUUGCUCCCUACCAGGCUGAACGUGCAUGGGAGGCUGAUUCUCCAUGGCUUAGAUCCAUGGGACUGCACCUCCCACAGUGGAACGCUCACCUGUGCAAUGAACACCCACCUGGGGAAAUGAAACUGCACCUGACUGCACCCUGAGAGGUGUGUGUGUCCCUGCAGGCAGCGCUCACCCACACAGUGGACAACACGCAGGUGCCCUGAUGACAUCACUGCUCAUGAGCAGAGUGUCACAGGCUCUGUGUGUGGCUGUCAGGCUCUGUUAGGCAGAGCCACACUGAGAGCCUCGGCAGCACAGGACGCACAGCCUCUGUCCUCUCUCUUCCAGUCAAUGCACCUUAUUCCAAGUGCUCAUGGAGUAUUCCGUAUACAAUCCCGUGAGUAUUCUGGGAUCAUAUCGCAGGUGCUAUCCCGGCAGUCCCUGCAGGGCACCCCUGGUCACAGAGAUCCCAGCCUGGGUUGAGGAGGCCUCUCUCAUUCACAACUCCAAGACAGAGGAGUAGGGGCCAAGCUCCAGGCCUCCUUGGACCCAACCUCAAGUUCUGGGAGGAGAAAGGCAGCCUUCUCCUGGGCUGGCCUCCAGACCCCAGGAGUUUGGCGGUGUUGGGUUGCCCCUCCCAGGACUAGCAUUCCACAUGGGGGUGGGGGGUGAAGGCAGGGCAGAUAAGGUGUAUGACUUUGCUCAUCAAAGUUGAGUCUGGGUCCCACUGAUGCCAUUAUACCCACCAGACAUGUGGUUGGACCCAUGGGCCUGAAUCCCACUCCACACAGCACCACUGCCACAACCACCCACUCAGACCUUUCCCAUGAGUGGAGCAGGUGCAGGGCUCCAUGGGUGACCCAGCAAGGCCUGGACAUCCCCAUGCCCCUGACCUGCCACUGGCCAACCCUGCCUGGUGCCCUGGUUCCCAGGGGGCCUGGCACUCAGGAAGCCCAGGCCUACACCCAUGACAGAGGCACACCUCCUGUUCUGGUCCUGGUAGCACUUCCUGGCUUACUUCUUCCUCAAGUGAGAAAGGGCCACCAGGUCACCUGCAGAGCUCAGGGGUCCAGAGCUUCCAUGGGCAUGGAUCUGGAUUCCCACAGCAACCUGGCCCAUCCUGACAUCUUGGGGGUAACAGGUGUCCAUACUUCAGGUCUCCCCCCCUGUGCUGCCUAAGCUCAGGCCCUGCAGGAUUCCCUCAAGGAACUUGGAGAACUUCUAUAGGCUCCAAUUCUUGGGCUGCUGACACCAAAUGGCAGGAUUCAGGCACAGGGGCUCCCUCCCCAAUCUUCCUAGACCCUUCAGUGGGUGACACUGAUCUCCCUGAGAGGUGGGUCAUCCCAGGAUAUUAUUCUUGCCAAGGGAGGUCUCCUAAAGGUUUUCUGGGAUCUUGCAGGAGGUGGGAUACAGCCAGGGCCUGAGCCAUGUUGUGGGGCUCUUACUCAUGUUCAUGCCUGAGGAAGACUUUUUAUGGGCCCUGGUCCAGCUCAUGGAAAACAGCAAGCACACAAUGCAUGGUAGGUGGAUGGCGUGUGGGGCCCAGAGCAUGCAAGUCCAUGCAAGGCCCUCAAUGGCUCCUGAAUGUGCAGGACAAUGUCCCGGUGGGGGGGGCUCCCUGUAAGCCAGGGCUGGCAGAGGAAUCCUAGACUGAGCCAGCCCCCUUCUUUUACCACCUUCCAAAGGCUCUGCAGCUUCACCAUGGCCAUCCUGGGUGUGGGAACCUUGAGAACAACUCAGGUUGUUUCUGGCUCUUCUGCCUCACACAUCUCUACACAGCCUCUCAAGCACAGAGCCACACCCAGGGAACUUGCAGAAGCAGCAUCCCCUGUAGGGUCACCCCCUCAUCACCCCUGAAUCUUGGAAUGGUCAGGAGACACCCAGUUUGACAGCACUCACCUCAGCAGUAUCCAGGGGGCAGCCUGGCCUGGGCUGCACACAGUCACCCACCUGCACCCACCUCCCAAGCAGGUCCUCUGCCCUGGCCACAUUCAUUCCCACCUGCCCCUGGUCGAGCCUCCCCUGACCCUCAGUGCUCAGAAACACCCCACCCCAGCCUUUGGCUCUCCAGCCUUCCCAGGAGGAGGCUCUACCGUGGGGGUGUGGCUGAUACUACUCAGGUUUCUACAAACCAAACACCCCAAAACUGGAGCGAUUCCAGCAACACCUACAUGUGGGCAGGGCUAGAGGGAGGUGGGUCUUGUGGGAGACCCUGCACAGUGAAGGCCAAAGCCAGCCAACACUGGGUCCCUUUCAGCCAUCUAAGGACCCCUGGACUGCCCAAGUGCCCCGAGCCCAGUUAUGGGGGCUGAGUGCACUCCUGUGAGCAGGGUGGGCACAGAGGCAGGUGCUGGGGGCCCCCAUGGCAGAACCCAAGUGCAGCUGAGUGUGAGCUCCGCAGUCCUAGCCCAGCAUAAGUCAGUGGAACCCGGAGCAUUGCUGGCCUGUGGGCUUGUCCCCUGCUGCUGCUGCCAUCAAUGACCUGAGCGCUUGGGACCCCGUGCAGAGCAGAGAUGGAUUUGUCCCAGCUCUACAGGCUGGCAGUGGGGGCCCAGGUGCAAAGCUGUUCAGGCACUGGGGUGGCCCCACUGUGCUUCUAGGUGCUGCCUCCCCUCGGUGCUCAUGGGACAGAAGCAGCGACAGCCUAGUCUCACCAGGAAAGGGACAGUGGUCCAGGGUCAGAGGACACAGGGCACCCUGCCACCUCUUUAGAAACCACCUUCCCUGUCCCCGAGGGCCUGAACCAGAUUCCAUGUCUGCCCCACAGCCCCAGCUCUCACUCCCAUCAUCUUAGGCUCAGUUCCUUUCCAGCCAUUUAGGAGGAAUUUAGAUGCAGGUAACUCAGCCAAUGCACUACUAGGACCCAGGAGGUCAGGUGGGGUAGGUGGCAGGGUCCUGAGUUGGUGCCUUGGUCCCCAGAGAUGAGAGAGUGAGGUGGGGUGGGCAAGGCCAACAACCCGUGUGGCUGUAUAGAAGGAGCUGGAGCUGUCCCAGGGCUCCCCUGGCCCAGGCUGCACACACCCUCCCCUCUGGGGCCAGCAGCCUGGAAGAGUCCUCAGCAUCACCCGUGGACCUGGGUGUGUUAUUUAAAGCCUUGUGCCUCAGUUCCCUCAAGUGGAAGUGUUACUAACCAGACCAAAUACACAUGGUUAUGAGAAGAAGUCAACAGUUGUUUCUAGAGACCAGUACUGUGUGGUAUAUCAGGUAAAGCCAUUGGCUGCAACAUCAGCAUCCCAUAUGGGCUCCGGUUCAAGUCCCAGCUGCUCCACUUCCCAUCCAGCUCUCUACUAUGGUCUGGGAAAGCAGUAGAAGGUGGUCCAAGUGCUUUGGGUCCCUGCACCCACAUGGCAGACCUAGAAUCAGCCCAGGAUCAGCCCAGGUCUGGCUGUUGGGGCAUCUGUUAAUUCUGAUUUCCACAAAUUUUUUUGAAUAGCUUUGAAUAUAAAAGGAGAGGUAUUAUGAAGAACUGGUUCCCAAGAAACAUGAGGCUAAGAAUUCCCUCCAUCUGCAGUCUGCAUGCUGAAGUCACAGGAAAGCCAGCUGUUGUAACUGAAUCUGAGUCCAAGGCCUGUGAAGCACAGCAGCCAGUGGUGUUAAUUCCAGGCCAAGGGCAGGAGAAAGAGAGGUUAGAUGUCCCAACUCAACAAUGAGGCAGAAGAAAGGGGGCAAAGUCCUUUCUCAGUGUUUUGCUCUGUUUGGGCCAUCAAUGGGUUAGGAGAUGCCCACUCACCCUGGGGAGAGGUUCUACAUCACUGAGCCCCUUGACUCACACAAACUCAUCCAGAAACACUCUCGUAACACACCUACACAUUGCAGUUUGUUUUAUUUUGUUUUUGUUUUAAGAUUUAUUUGUUUAUUUGAAAGGCAGAGUUACACAGAGAGGAAGAGACAGAGAGACAGAGAUCUUCCAUUCACUGGUUCACUCCCCAAAUGGCUGCACCAUCCAGGCCUGGGCCAAGCUGAAGCCAGGAGCCAGGAGCUUCUUCCAGGUCACCCACGUGGGUGGCAAGGCCCCAAGUACUUGGGCCAUCUUCUGCCACUUUUCCAGGCCAUCAGCAGGGAGCUGGAUCAGGAGUAGAAGAAAUGCACAUUGGCACUCACAUGGGAUGUCAGCAUAGCAGGCGGUGGCCUCAUGCACUAUACCACAACACCAGCCCCUAGACAUCAUGUUUAUCGGGGUACCCCAUGUCCCAGUCAGAGCUCCUCAGCAAAGAUGUUACUAUUGGAACACACCCCCAGGUUGCAAUCCCAGCAUGACUCAGGAAGAGAGUAAUUAGUUUCUUCUAAUCACAAACACUUUGUAAUCAAACUGUAUAUAAAUAUAACUAUAUGUAGAAAAAAAUGGAAGAAAAAUUCUAUAAAAUG
This is a non-coding RNA of Oryctolagus cuniculus (rabbit), 7609 nucleotides long. NCBI's taxonomy places the organism in Eukaryota, Metazoa, Chordata, Mammalia, Lagomorpha, Leporidae. The record is from RefSeq and is a predicted model, not a curated record.